GAGUUUGAUCCUGGCUCAGAUUGAACGCUGGCGGCAGGCUUAACACAUGCAUGUCGAGCGGUAACGGGUCCAGCUUGCUGGAUGCCGACGAGCGGCGGACGGGUGAGUAAUGCAUAGGAAUCUGCCCAGUCGUGGGGGAUAACCUGGGGAAACCCAGGCUAAUACCGCAUACGUCCUACGGGAGAAAGCGGGGGCUUCGUGUUCUUCGGAAUGGGGACCUCGCGCGAUUGGAUGAGCCUAUGUCGGAUUAGCUGGUUGGUGAGGUAACGGCUCACCAAGGCGACGAUCCGUAGCUGGUCUGAGAGGAUGAUCAGCCACACCGGGACUGAGACACGGCCCGGACUCCUACGGGAGGCAGCAGUGGGGAAUAUUGGACAAUGGGCGCAAGCCUGAUCCAGCCAUGCCGCGUGUGUGAAGAAGGCUUUCGGGUUGUAAAGCACUUUCAGUGGGGAAGAAGGCCUGGCGGUCAAUACCCGCCAGGGACGACAUCACCCACAGAAGAAGCACCGGCUAACUCCGUGCCAGCAGCCGCGGUAAUACGGAGGGUGCGAGCGUUAAUCGGAAUUACUGGGCGUAAAGCGCGCGUAGGCGGCCAAGUAAGCCGGUUGUGAAAGCCCCGGGCUCAACCUGGGAAUGGCAUCCGGAACUGGUUGGCUAGAGUGCAGGAGAGGAAGGUAGAAUUCCCGGUGUAGCGGUGAAAUGCGUAGAGAUCGGGAGGAAUACCAGUGGCGAAGGCGGCCUUCUGGACUGACACUGACGCUGAGGUGCGAAAGCAUGGGUAGCAAACAGGAUUAGAUACCCUGGUAGUCCAUGCCGUAAACGAUGCCGACUAGCCGUUGGGUCCCUUGAGGACUUGGUGGCGCAGUUAACGCGAUAAGUCGACCGCCUGGGGAGUACGGCCGCAAGGUUAAAACUCAAAUGAAUUGACGGGGGCCCGCACAAGCGGUGGAGCAUGUGGUUUAAUUCGAUGCAACGCGAAGAACCUUACCUACCCUUGACAUCCUGCGAACCCACCGGAGACGGCGGGGUGCCUUCGGGAGCGCAGAGACAGGUGCUGCAUGGCUGUCGUCAGCUCGUGUUGUGAAAUGUUGGGUUAAGUCCCGUAACGAGCGC
This 1113-nucleotide ribosomal RNA is filed under the name uncultured Gammaproteobacteria bacterium. Its description in RNAcentral is "bacterial SSU rRNA". It matches the Rfam family "Bacterial small subunit ribosomal RNA", at positions 9 to 1099 of the family's 1533-position model. Lineage: Bacteria; Pseudomonadati; Pseudomonadota; Gammaproteobacteria. The record is from RNAcentral.